GCAGGGGUAGCCAAGCCUGGCCAAAGGCGCGGGCUUGAGGGGCCCGUCCCGUAGGGGUUCGCGAGUUCGAAUCUCGUCCCCUGCA
RNAcentral lists this transfer RNA (85 nucleotides) under Thermoplasmata archaeon. RNAcentral describes it as "tRNA-Leu". It matches the Rfam family "tRNA". From Rfam's summary of the family: Transfer RNA (tRNA) molecules are approximately 80 nucleotides in length. Their secondary structure includes four short double-helical elements and three loops (D, anti-codon, and T loops). RNAcentral also lists the same sequence under 1 other name. Lineage: Archaea; Methanobacteriati; Thermoplasmatota; Thermoplasmata. The record is from RNAcentral.